Molecule: long non-coding RNA, 337 nt
Filed under: Homo sapiens (human)
Lineage: Eukaryota; Metazoa; Chordata; Mammalia; Primates; Hominidae
Description: HSALNT0015988
Source: RNAcentral
GGACAAGUUCAAGCAGAGGGUCCAUGUACCCAACAUAUCAUCCCUGAGGAUUGAGAACCUGGCCCCUGAGGACAGUGGGCAGUACUUUGCCGUCAUCACCUCUACUAAGGGAGAGGGGAUUUUCCAGGUUUUCUACCUCACUGUCUAUCAGCCUGUGCCUCACCCUGAGUUCCUGGCAAAGUCACUGUCUAUCACACCAGGCUUGUGUAACAUCACCCUGGAGUGUAGAGUUCCAGGGGCCACAGAGGACCUGAAUAUGACUUGGGAAAGCAAGGGCCUCCUUGGAGAGCUGGAGCAGAGAGAAACACCAGGACCAGCCCCCAACCCCUGGACCCUG